Molecule: ribosomal RNA, 394 nt
Filed under: uncultured bacterium
Lineage: Bacteria
Description: partial 16S ribosomal RNA
Rfam family: Bacterial small subunit ribosomal RNA
Source: RNAcentral
CCUACGAGGGGCAGCAGUGAGGAAUAUUGGGCAAUGGACGCAAGUCUGAACCAGCCAUGCCGCGUGCAGGAAGACGGCUCUAUGAGUUGUAAACUGCUUUUGUACGGGGGUAAACGCAGGUACGCGUAUCUUUCUGAAAGUAUCGUACGAAUAAGGAUCGGCUAAUUCCGUGCCAGCAGCCGCGGUAAUACGGAGGAUUCAAGCGUUAUCCGGAUUUAUUGGGUUUAAAGGGUGCGUAGGCCGUCGCUUAAGGUAGAUGUGAAAUCCCGGGGCUCAACGUCGGAAGUGCCUCUGAAACUGGUCGGCUUGAGAGUAAUGGCGGUAGGCGGAAUGCAUGGUGUAGCGGUGAAAUGCUUAGAUAUCAGAAAGAACACCGAUUGCGAAGGCAGCUUAC